RNAcentral lists this ribosomal RNA (254 nucleotides) under uncultured bacterium. RNAcentral describes it as "partial 16S ribosomal RNA". It matches the Rfam family "Bacterial small subunit ribosomal RNA", at positions 524 to 776 of the family's 1533-position model. The record is from RNAcentral.
CACGUAGGGUGCGAGCGUUGUCCGGAAUUAUUGGGCGUAAAGAGCUCGUAGGCGGUGUGUCGCGUCGGCCGUGAAAACCUGCAGCUUAACUGUGGGCUUGCGGUCGAUACGGGCAUCACUGGAGUUCGGCAGGGGAGACUGGAAUUCCUGGUGUAGCGGUGAAAUGCGCAGAUAUCGGGAAGAACACCGGUGGCGAAGGCGGCUCGCUGGGCCAUUGCUGACGCUGAGGCGCGAAAGCGUGGGGAGCAAACAGG